This is an unclassified non-coding RNA of Mustela putorius furo (domestic ferret), 331 nucleotides long. Its record names the gene 7SK. It matches the Rfam family "7SK RNA". Rfam says of the family: 7SK was discovered as an abundant small nuclear RNA in the mid-70s but a possible function has only recently been suggested. Two independent studies have found that 7SK RNA binds the CDK9/cyclin T complex (known as elongation factor P-TEFb). P-TEFb activates transcription by phosphorylating the C-terminal domain of RNA polymerase II. Lineage: Eukaryota; Metazoa; Chordata; Mammalia; Carnivora; Mustelidae. The record is from Ensembl.
GGAUGUGAGGAUGAUCUGGCUGUGACAUCUGUCACCCCAUUGAUGGCCAGGGUUGAUUCAGUUGAUCUGGCUGGCUAGGCAGAUGUCCCCUUCCUUCCUCCCCACUCCAUGUGCACCUUUCUGGAAGCUGCAUGCUCAGUUGAAGAGGACAACCUUCCCCAACAGAGGAGGACCAUUCUUCGGCCAAGGGUAUACCAGUACCUGCCCUCCCCUGCUGGAACCUCCAGACAUGCUAUCCAGGUCCAUUUGUAGGAGAAUGUCAGGCGGUCAAGUUUCCAAGACUCCAGACACAACAGAUUGAGGCCCUACCUGUGGCAGUCUGCCUUAAAAC